Molecule: non-coding RNA, 289 nt
Organism: Pelobates cultripes (western spadefoot toad)
Lineage: Eukaryota; Metazoa; Chordata; Amphibia; Anura; Pelobatidae
Source: the annotation of a GenBank genome assembly
ACUAGUCACCCCCUCACUCUAGUGAGGGACGGUGUGACUAGUGACAGAGAGAUGGAGGGGGUGACUAGUGACAGAGAGAGGGAGGGAGUGACUAGUGACAGAGGGAGGGAUGAGGUGACUAGUGACAGUCACCACCUCCUUCACUCUGUCAUUGUGUCACCCCCUUCCUCACUCUGUCACUAGUCACCCACUCCCUCCCUCCCUCUGUCACUAGUCACCCCCUCUCUCACUCUGUCACUAGUCAUCCACUUCCUUACUGUCACUAGUCCGCCCUCCCUCACUCUGUCAC